RNAcentral lists this ribosomal RNA (563 nucleotides) under uncultured bacterium. RNAcentral's name for it is "bacterial SSU rRNA". It matches the Rfam family "Bacterial small subunit ribosomal RNA", at positions 9 to 548 of the family's 1533-position model. The record is from RNAcentral.
GAGUUUGAUCAUGGCUCAGAACGAACGCUGGCAGCGUGCUUAACACAUGCAAGUCGAGCGAGAAAGGGGGGGCAACCCCCUGAGUAGAGCGGCGCACGGGUGAGUAACGCGUGGGUAACCUACCCCCAGGCGGGGGAUAACCACUCGAAAGGGUGGCUAAUACCGCAUGAGACCACGGGAUCUUCGGAUCCUGAGGCUAAAGAUCGCACCGGCUUGCCGGUGCUGUCACCAGGGGAUGGGCCCGCGUCCGAUUAGCUAGUUGGCGAGGUAAUGGCUCACCAAGGCUUCGAUCGGUAGCUGGUCUGAGAGGAUGAUCAGCCACACUGGAACUGAAACACGGUCCAGACCCCUACGGGAGGCAGCAGUCGGGAAUUUUGGGCAAUGGGCGAAAGCCUGACCCAGCAACGCCGCGUGAAGGAUGAAAUCCCUCGGGAUGUAUACUUCGCAAGAACGGGAAGAAUUAGUAGGGGUCAAUACCCCCUAUGAUGACGGUACCGUUUGUAAGCUCCGGCUAACUCCGUGCCAGCAGCCGCGGUAAUACGGGGGGAGCAAGCGUUGUUCGG